CCUACGGAGGCAGCAGUAGGAAUUUUUCCACAAUGGGGCCCAAGCNUGAUUGGAGCAACGCCGCGUGAGUGAAGACGGCCUUCGGGUUUUAAAGCUUCUUUCUGUUCGGGACGAAGACCGGACGGGAGUCCCGGGAGCCGGUACCGACGAAGAAGCCCCUGCAAACUACGUGCCAGCAGCCCCGGUAAGACGUAGGGGCCAAGCGUUGUCCGAAUUACUGGGCGUAAAGGGCGUGUAGGCGGUGCGAUACGUAGCGGUUUUAAGCCUCCGGCUCACCCGGAGGAGGGCGGCUAAACGUUCGCGCUAGAGGGCAGGAGAGGUGCGUGGAAUUCCUGGUGGAGCGGUGAAAUGCGUAGAGAUCAGGAAGAACACCCGUGGCGAAGGCGGCGCACUGGCCUGGCCCUGACGCUGAGGCGCGACAGCGUGGGGAGCGAACGGGAUUAGAUACCCCGGUAGUCCACGCCGUAAACGAUGGGUACUAGGUGUCGCCCGGGUCCACCGGGCGGUGCCGGAGCUAACGCACUAAGUACCCCGCCUGGGGAGUACGGCCGCAAGGUUGAAACUCAAAGGAAUUGACGGGG
Molecule: ribosomal RNA, 581 nt
Filed under: uncultured bacterium
Lineage: Bacteria
Description: bacterial SSU rRNA
Rfam family: Bacterial small subunit ribosomal RNA
Source: RNAcentral